Molecule: non-coding RNA, 48 nt
Filed under: Trypanosoma lewisi
Lineage: Eukaryota; Euglenozoa; Kinetoplastea; Trypanosomatida; Trypanosomatidae
Source: RNAcentral
AUAUAAAACAAAAGAAAAAUACAGAGAGUCAAAGAACAUUGAUGAUAA